This 478-nucleotide ribosomal RNA is filed under the name uncultured bacterium. RNAcentral's name for it is "bacterial SSU rRNA". It matches the Rfam family "Bacterial small subunit ribosomal RNA", at positions 15 to 507 of the family's 1533-position model. The record is from RNAcentral.
GAUCAUGGCUCAGAUUGAACGCUGGCGGCAUGCCUUACACAUGCAAGUCGAACGGCAGCACGGGUGCUUGCACCUGGUGGCGAGUGGCGAACGGGUGAGUAAUACAUCGGAACGUACCUUAUCGUGGGGGAUAACGCAGCGAAAGCUGUGCUAAUACCGCAUACGCCCUGAGGGGGAAAGCGGGGGAUCGAAAGACCUCGCGCGAUUAGAGCGGCCGAUAUCUGAUUAGCUUGUUGGUGGGGUAAAAGCCCACCAAGGCGACGAUCAGUAGCUGGUCUGAGAGGACGAUCAGCCACACUGGGACUGAGACACGGUCCAGACUCCUACGGGAGGCAGCAGUGGGGAAUUUUCCGCAAUGGGCGAAAGCCUGACGGAGCAAUACCGCGUGAGGGAAGAAUGCCUAUGGGUUGUAAACCUCUUUUUUCAGGGAGGAAUAAAAUGACGUGUACCUGAAGAAUAAGCAUCGGCUAACUCCGUG